RNAcentral lists this ribosomal RNA (441 nucleotides) under Dromogomphus armatus. RNAcentral describes it as "partial 28S ribosomal RNA". The record is from RNAcentral. Lineage: Eukaryota; Metazoa; Arthropoda; Insecta; Odonata; Gomphidae.
UAAUGAGGGAAGCAAAUGAAGCUGCAAAGUAAAUAAAGGGUGUUCAUGGUAAAAUAAUUAUUAUACUUUACUUAUAUAUGGGACUUUAAUAGGUACAUGUAUAAGUGUAUAAUUAUAAUUAUUAUACUUGCAUUCACUCCUUUAUUCUUGAUGUCCUGACAAUUUAAAUAGUAAAUAAAAAUGUGUAAAGUAAAAUGGUGGGUACACUUUUAUAGAGUACUUUUAGUUUACUUUACUGAUUUAUUUACACAUUGAAUUGUUAUUUAUAAUUUACACUAUAUGUGUAUUGGUAAGAAUAAGUAAAUUGAUUAAAUCUGUGUAUUUUUAUAUGAUUAGUAUCGUAAUUGAAUAAAUUAUGAACUGUUAUAUAAAGGUGCCAGUGUAAUAUUUAAUCAAUUGAAUUAUUCUCAUCUAGGACAGUAGCUGGCCUUCAUUUGACCC